GACGAACGCUGGCGGCGUGCUUAACACAUGCAAGUCGAACGGAAAGGCCCUGCUUGCAGGGUACUCGAGUGGCGAACGGGUGAGUAACACGUGGGUGAUCUGCCCUGCACUUCGGGAUAAGCUUGGGAAACUGGGUCUAAUACCGGAUAGGAGCCAUCUUUAGUGUGGUGGUUGGAAAGUUUUUUCGGUGUAGGAUGAGCUCGCGGCCUAUCAGCUUGUUGGUGGGGUAAUGGCCUACCAAGGCGGCGACGGGUAGCCGGCCUGAGAGGGUGUACGGCCACAUUGGGACUGAGAUACGGCCCAGACUCCUACGGGGGGCAGCAGUGGGGAAUAUUGCACAAUGGGCGCAAGCCUGAUGCAGCGACGCCGCGUGGGGGAUGAAGGCCUUCGGGUUGUAAACUCCUUUCGCUAGGGACGAAGCGUUGUUGUGACGGUACCUAGAUAAGAAGCACCGGCUAACUACGUG
This 466-nucleotide ribosomal RNA is filed under the name uncultured bacterium. Its description in RNAcentral is "partial 16S ribosomal RNA". It matches the Rfam family "Bacterial small subunit ribosomal RNA", at positions 28 to 507 of the family's 1533-position model. The record is from RNAcentral.